RNAcentral lists this ribosomal RNA (253 nucleotides) under uncultured bacterium. RNAcentral's name for it is "partial 16S ribosomal RNA". It matches the Rfam family "Bacterial small subunit ribosomal RNA", at positions 524 to 776 of the family's 1533-position model. The record is from RNAcentral.
UACGUAGGGUGCGAGCGUUAAUCGGAAUUACUGGGCGUAAAGCGUGCGCAGGCGGUUUUGUAAGCCAGAUGUGAAAUCCCCGGGCUCAACCUGGGAAUGGCAUUUGGGACUGCAAGGCUUGAGUGCGGCAGAGGAGACUGGAAUUCCUGGUGUAGCAGUGAAAUGCGUAGAUAUCAGGAGGAAUACCGAUGGCGAAGGCAGGUCUCUGGGCCGACACUGACGCUCAUGCACGAAAGCGUGGGGAGCAAACAGG